GACGAACGCUGGCGGCGUGCUUAACACAUGCAAGUCGAACGGAAAGGCCCUGCUGUUGUGGGGUGCUCGAGUGGCGAACGGGUGAGUAACACGUGAGUAACCUGCCCUUGACUUUGGGAUAACUUCAGGAAACUGGGGCUAAUACCGGAUAGGAGCUCCUGCUGCAUGGUGGGGGUUGGUAAGUUUCGGCGGUUGGGGAUGGACUCGCGGCUUCUCAGCUUGUUGGUGGGGUAGUGGCUUACCAAGGCUUUGACGGGUAGCCGGCCUGAGAGGGUGACCGGCCACAUUGGGACUGAGAUACGGCCAAGAGUCCUACGGGAGGCAGCAGUGGGGAAUAGUGCGCGAUGGGCGGAGGCCUGAUGCAGCAACGCCGCGUGCGAGAUGACGGCCUUAGGGGUGUAAACCGCUUUCGACUGUGACGAACCGUGAGUGACGGUAAUGGAUAAAGAAGCACCGGCUAACUACGUG
RNAcentral lists this ribosomal RNA (468 nucleotides) under uncultured bacterium. RNAcentral describes it as "partial 16S ribosomal RNA". It matches the Rfam family "Bacterial small subunit ribosomal RNA", at positions 28 to 507 of the family's 1533-position model. The record is from RNAcentral.